ACGUAGGGGGCAAGCGUUGUCCGGAAUUAUUGGGCGUAAAGGGUGCGUAGGCGGCUUGGUAAGUCUGUUGUGAAAGUCCUGCGUUUAAGGCGGGAGUUGCUUUGGAUACUGUCGGGCUUGAGUGCAGGAGAGGUAAGUGGAAUUCCCGGUGUAGCGGUGAGAUGCGUAGAGAUCGGGAGGAACACCAGUGGCGAAGGCGACUUACUGGCAUGAAACUGACGCUGAGGCACGAAAGCGUGGGGAGCAAACAG
This 251-nucleotide ribosomal RNA is filed under the name uncultured prokaryote. Its description in RNAcentral is "partial 16S rRNA". It matches the Rfam family "Bacterial small subunit ribosomal RNA", at positions 525 to 775 of the family's 1533-position model. The record is from RNAcentral.